This 468-nucleotide ribosomal RNA is filed under the name uncultured bacterium. Its description in RNAcentral is "partial 16S ribosomal RNA". It matches the Rfam family "Bacterial small subunit ribosomal RNA", at positions 28 to 507 of the family's 1533-position model. The record is from RNAcentral.
GACGAACGCUGGCGGCGUACUUAACACAUGCAAGUCGAACGGAAAGGCCCUGCUUUUGUGGGGUGCUCGAGUGGCGAACGGGUGAGUAACACGUGAGUAACCUGCCCUUGACUUUGGGAUAACUUCAGGAAACUGGGGCUAAUACCGGAUAGGAGCUCCUGCUGCAUGGUGGGGGUUGGAAAGUUUCGGCGGUUGGGGAUGGACUCGCGGCUUAUCAGCUUGUUGGUGGGGUAGUGGCUUACCAAGGCUUUGACGGGUAGCCGGCCUGAGAGGGUGACCGGACACAUUGGGACUGAGAUACGGCCCAGACUGCUACGGGAGGCAGCAGUGGGGAAUAUUGCACAAUGGGCGGAAGCCUGAUGCAGCAACGCCGCGUGCGGGAUGACGGCCUUCGGGUUGUAAACCGCUUUCGCCUGUGACGAAGCGUGAGUGACGGUAAUGGGUAAAGAAGCACCGGCUAACUACGUG